This is a long non-coding RNA of Andrographis paniculata, 1885 nucleotides long. RefSeq lists it as uncharacterized. The transcript is spliced from 6 exons. The record is from RefSeq and is a predicted model, not a curated record. NCBI's taxonomy places the organism in Eukaryota, Viridiplantae, Streptophyta, Magnoliopsida, Lamiales, Acanthaceae.
CGCGAUUUGGAGUCUGUUUUUUCUCUCCCUCUAGUUCAUCUUCUUCGAGUUCUUCUCGGUAAGUUUGGGGUUCUCUUCUUCGCCGAAAUCGCCGUUGUUCUUGUUCGAUUCCUUCGGUAAGUUGUUCAUCUGGGUGUUUUUGUGAGGUUUUGGGGGAAAUCGGUCGAUUAAAGUUUAGGGUCGAUCGAGUCCGUUGGUUUGGGGUUUUGUUUGGAGGCAGUUGGGUUAGUCCCUAAAUGUGAGGCUGUAGACUGAGCCGUAAGAAUAGUUUCCCCUAUCCUUUGUCAAGUCGCUUGGAAAUCGCCGGAAGAGGAAGUUGCCGGAGCUGUGGCGCGUGACUGGGUGUGUUCGCCGGAAGACUGUCGAAAGAGGGAAGUUCAUAUUCUGCCCUUUCUAAUCUUGAAUCCUGAUUUUUGCAUAGAUUGAUUGUGUUCUUAAAUUGAUUUUCAGAAAGUAUAUUGUUUUUAUUUCAAUUUGUUGGACACAUUCUAGUUGAUGUUUCUUGGUUGUUUGACAGAUUAUAUAUAUAAAACACAACAUAUUUCAUGUUACUGUUCUACUGUAGUAAGAUUGUUCUAUUAUUACUUGGCUACUUGUAGGUGCUUGUCGCUGUUGAUUGAAGUGGUUAAAGGUUCCACAAAGGAAAAAAAUUAGAUAUAGUGUUUAUUACGGUGAACUUAUUGUUGAAACAAUAAUUUGUAAUUUUCAAAGUAAUUAAUAUGCUAAUCCCUUUAAGUUCUAGUAACCACGAAUAAUAAUAACAUACUGAAGUAACGACUUGUAGAUCAAGAGUCCUACAUAUGGAUGUACUCCUUACUUGAUGAUGGAAAAAAAAGAACUUAUCAUCAAAGCAUAGUGAGCAACACGUGUUUUUUUCUUCUGCAAAUCCUUCUACUAUCUAUCCUACCCAACACUUAUAGUGUUACCACUAUUUCUUUCAUGGUUCAGUUUAAUUAGGAAAAUCUCCCAAUUUUGAUAAACUUUUGAUAUCCGCUGUAUGUUGACUGUGGACUAUACAUAUUACUAAUCUUUCCUUGGGAACUGAAUAAUCUGAAUGUCGACCUGCAGGUUAGGUUACGUUGUUAGGGUGAUCAUCUUAACUCUUAGGAAUUUCGCAACACAAAGGGAAAUUUGGUGCUCGGAUUGUUCAGAACUUAAAAUCUCAGGCAUGGAGUGAUGAGUUGAGCUGUAUUAAUAGUGAAGCUAGCUCUGCCCACCCACACAGUGAAUCAAUGGACAUUACCGAUAGUUAAGAUGUACAAAAGUUUGCAGAGGAAUGUAAGAAGUGCCUUGUUGAGUUGAGGGCUGUCAUGGUUGAGGUUAGAAACAUGCAUGCAGAGUUGUCUACUUGGAUGAACUCUCCCGGUGGAGCAUCAAUAUGAGCCCUGGGAACUAGCCGCACCCAAAGAGGGUUAGAGACACUGGGUACCGAGGUCCACGAACCACUGACGGUCAGGCCUCGUGUUCUUUUGAUGUCCUGUGGCUUAGAAAAAAAUGUUGCUAAGGGGAUCAUGUUGACCGCCCCUCUUCCAGGUGAUAUGCUAGCAAUAGUUAAAGUCUUUGUAAGGGCUACCAUGGUUCCGGAGACCUCAAUUAUUCUGCCAACAAUUAGUUGAGCACGUACCCUCGGUGAGUGCCACACAUGAGUUCCUCCCCUAUACUUUUGACGUUUCAUGAGCAUCCACAGCCCAUGUUUAUGUGUUGAACCUGGUUUGAUGCCUUACUUGUUUUUACUAUAUUUUGAAUGAGGCUUGCAUAUAAUUAUGACAUCGCUUAUUAGAUCAUUUUGCGUAAUAAGUAUAUAAUUUUGGAAAGUCCGAGAGCUUGGUACAUAGACACCGGAGCAACCUGUUAUGUUUGCUCUGACAAAACAAACUUCUCGACC